AGUCUGUUCUUAUUGCCUGCAUAG
This 24-nucleotide non-coding RNA is filed under the name Arabidopsis thaliana (thale cress). The record is from RNAcentral. Lineage: Eukaryota; Viridiplantae; Streptophyta; Magnoliopsida; Brassicales; Brassicaceae.